This 274-nucleotide ribosomal RNA is filed under the name uncultured bacterium. RNAcentral's name for it is "partial 16S ribosomal RNA". It matches the Rfam family "Bacterial small subunit ribosomal RNA", at positions 523 to 796 of the family's 1533-position model. The record is from RNAcentral.
AUACGGAGGGUGCAAGCGUUAUUCGGAAUCACUGGGCGUAAAGGACGCGUAGGCGGGUUGGCAAGUCAGAUGUGAAAUCCUACAGCUUAACUGUAGAACUGCAUUUGAAACUGCUAACCUAGAGUAUGGGAGGGGGAGAUGGAAUUAGUGGUGUAGGGGUAAAAUCCGUAGAUAUCACUAGGAAUACCGAAAGCGGAGGCGAUCUCCUGGAACAUAACUGACGCUAAGGCGUGAAAGCGUGGGGAGCAAACAGGAUUAGAAACCCUAGUAGUCC